AUCAGGGAUGGGAAAGGGAGGCCGAGAAGGAAGCGGAUCCACGGCCGCACAGCUAAACAGCAACCCCCUACCCGCUUCGUCUCCCUCCGCCGCUAUCGGGGCCUAAGCGGGAGCGGCUGGCACGGCGUCACUGGGAAUGUCGGAUUGCACAUCCUAUUGUAAAAUGUACUUACUGCAGAUCAGAAUUUCAACAAGAGAGCAAAACUAACACAAUUUGUAAGAAGUGUGCUCAAAAUGUGAAGCAAUUUGGGACGCCCAAGCCUUGUCAGUACUGUAACAUAAUUGCAGCAUUUAUUGGUACCAAGUGUCAGCGUUGCACAAAUUCAGAAAAAAAGUAUGGACCACCUCAGACCUGUGAACAGUGCAAACAGCAAUGUGCUUUUGAUCGGAAGGAGGAAGGAAGAAGAAAGGUUGAUGGAAAGUUAUUAUGCUGGCUCUGUACUUUAUCGUACAAAAGAGUUUUACAGAAGACGAAAGAACAAAGGAAGAGCCUGGGAUCUUCACAUUCAAAUUCAUCUUCUUCAUCUCUUACUGAGAAAGACCAGCAUCAUCCAAAACAUCAUCACCACCAUCAUCACCAUCACCAUCGUCACAGCAGUAGCCAUCACAAAAUCAGCAAUCUAAGUCCAGAAGAAGAGCAGGGACUGUGGAAACAGAGCCAUAAAUCCUCUGCAACAAUUCAGAAUGAAACUCCAAAGAAAAAGCCCAAAUUGGAAUCUAAGCCAUCUAAUGGAGAUAGUAGCUCUAUAAAUCAGUCAGCAGAUAGUGGGGGAACAGACAAUUUUGUCCUUAUAAGUCAAUUGAAAGAAGAAGUGAUGUCACUUAAGCGUCUCUUACAGCAGAGAGACCAGACCAUUUUAGAAAAAGAUAAAAAGUUAACUGAACUAAAGGCAGACUUUCAGUACCAAGAGUCAAAUUUGAGAACAAAAAUGAACAGUAUGGAAAAAGCCCACAAAGAAACUGUGGAACAACUUCAGGUAACUACCAUCAUUUACGUAAAAUGAUAGGCAAGAAGGGCUAAACUUGAGUAAUAGCAUUCAUUGAC
This 1045-nucleotide long non-coding RNA is filed under the name Homo sapiens (human). RNAcentral's name for it is "HSALNT0180041". Lineage: Eukaryota; Metazoa; Chordata; Mammalia; Primates; Hominidae. The record is from RNAcentral.